Etheostoma cragini (Arkansas darter) is the source of this 347-nucleotide long non-coding RNA. RefSeq lists it as uncharacterized. The transcript has 3 exons. The record is from RefSeq and is a predicted model, not a curated record. NCBI's taxonomy places the organism in Eukaryota, Metazoa, Chordata, Actinopteri, Perciformes, Percidae.
GCGCUGGACUGGCGUUGGACAGGUGUUGGACUGGCGUUGGACUAACUGGCAUUGGACUGGCGUUGGACUGGCAUUGGUUGGAGCGUGCGUGCAGCGUGGCGGUCUCUGUUCCCAGAUCAGCUAUGAUGGUGCUACAGAUGACAGACGUUUGAGACAACAACGAAUGGCUUCCACAGGGAGCGCCCUCCGCAUCCCGGGGGACGACAACCUGCAGUCCAUGCUGGUGGGGACAAUCAUGAGGAAAAUAAAGUCUCGAACCUGGAAGAAGCAGCGCUACUUCAAACUGCAGGACGACUGCAUGACCAUCUGGUACAAGUCCAAGAAGGCUGGGAACUCCCACUCUACAU